GAUGAACGCUGGCGGCGUGCCUAAUACAUGCAAGUCGAGCGAACGGACGAGAAGCUUGCUUCUCUGAUGUUAGCGGCGGACGGGUGAGUAACACGUGGAUAACCUACCUAUAAGACUGGGAUAACUUCGGGAAACCGGAGCUAAUACCGGAUAAUAUUUUGAACCGCAUGGUUCAAAAGUGAAAGACGGUCUUGCUGUCACUUAUAGAUGGAUCCGCGCUGCAUUAGCUAGUUGGUAAGGUAACGGCUUACCAAGGCAACGAUGCAUAGCCGACCUGAGAGGGUGAUCGGCCACACUGGAACUGAGACACGGUCCAGACUCCUACGGGAGGCAGCAGUAGGGAAUCUUCCGCAAUGGGCGAAAGCCUGACGGAGCAACGCCGCGUGAGUGAUGAAGGUCUUCGGAUCGUAAAACUCUGUUAUUAGGGAAGAACAUAUGUGUAAGUAACUGUGCACAUCUUGACGGUACCUAAUCAGAAAGCCACGGCUAACUACGUGCCAGCAGCCGCGGUAAUACGUAGGUGGCAAGCGUUAUCCGGAAUUAUUGGGCGUAAAGCGCGCGUAGGCGGUUUUUUAAGUCUGAUGUGAAAGCCCACGGCUCAACCGUGGAGGGUCAUUGGAAACUGGAAAACUUGAGUGCAGAAGAGGAAAGUGGAAUUCCAUGUGUAGCGGUGAAAUGCGCAGAGAUAUGGAGGAACACCAGUGGCGAAGGCGACUUUCUGGUCUGUAACUGACGCUGAUGUGCGAAAGCGUGGGGAUCAAACAGGAUUAGAUACCCUGGUAGUCCACGCCGUAAUCGAUGAGUGCUAAGUGUUAGGGGGUUUCCGCCCCUUAGUGCUGCAGCUAACGCAUUAAGCACUCCGCCUGGGGAGUACGACCGCAAGGUUGAAACUCAAAGGAAUUGACGGGGACCCGCGCAAGCGGUGGAGCAUGUGGUUUAAUUCGAAGCAACGCGAAGAACCUUACCAAAUCUUGACAUCCUUUGACAACUCUAGAGAUAGAGCCUUCCCCUUCGGGGGACAAAGUGACAGGUGGUGCAUGGUUGUCGUCAGCUCGUGUCGUGAGAUGUUGGGUUAAGUCCCGCAACGAGCGCAACCCUUAAGCUUAGUUGCCAUCAUUAAGUUGGGCACUCUAAGUUGACUGCCGGUGACAAACCGGAGGAAGGUGGGGAUGACGUCAAAUCAUCAUGCCCCUUAUGAUUUGGGCUACACACGUGCUACAAUGGACAAUACAAAGGGCAGCGAAACCGCGAGGUCAAGCAAAUCCCAUAAAGUUGUUCUCAGUUCGGAUUGUAGUCUGCAACUCGACUACAUGAAGCUGGAAUCGCUAGUAAUCGUAGAUCAGCAUGCUACGGUGAAUACGUUCCCGGGUCU
RNAcentral lists this ribosomal RNA (1372 nucleotides) under uncultured bacterium. RNAcentral's name for it is "bacterial SSU rRNA". It matches the Rfam family "Bacterial small subunit ribosomal RNA", at positions 28 to 1381 of the family's 1533-position model. The record is from RNAcentral.